Molecule: ribosomal RNA, 950 nt
Filed under: uncultured bacterium
Lineage: Bacteria
Description: bacterial SSU rRNA
Rfam family: Bacterial small subunit ribosomal RNA
Source: RNAcentral
GCAGCACGGACUUCGGUCUGGUGGCGAGUGGCGAACGGGUGAGUAAUAUAUCGGAACGUAUCCAUAAUGGGGGAUAACUAAUCGAAAGGUUGGCUAAUACCGCAUACGCCCUACGGGGGAAAGCUAGGGAUCUUCGGACCUGGCGUUAAUGGAGCGGCCGAUAUCUGAUUAGCUAGUUGGUGAGGUAAGAGCUCACCAAGGCGACGAUCAGUAGCUGGUCUGAGAGGACGACCAGCCACACUGGAACUGAGACACGGUCCAGACUCCUACGGGAGGCAGCAGUGGGGAAUUUUGGACAAUGGGCGCAAGCCUGAUCCAGCCAUUCCGCGUGAGUGAAGAAGGCCUUCGGGUUGUAAAGCUCUUUCGCAAGGGAAGAAAACUUAGUUACUAAUAUUAACUGAGGUUGACGGUACCUUGAUAAGAAGCACCGGCUAACUACGUGCCAGCAGCCGCGGUAAUACGUAGGGUGCGAGCGUUAAUCGGAAUUACUGGGCGUAAAGCGUGCGCAGGCGGUUUUGUAAGUCAGAUGUGAAAUCCCCGAGCUCAACUUGGGAACUGCGUUUGAAACUACAAGACUAGAAUAUGUCAGAGGGGGGUAGAAUUCCACGUGUAGCAGUGAAAUGCGUAGAGAUGUGGAGGAAUACCAAUGGCGAANGCAGCCCCCUGGGAUAAUAUUGACGCUCAUGCACGAAAGCGUGGGGAGCAAACAGGAUUAGAUACCCUGGUAGUCCACGCCCUAAACGAUGUCUACUAGUUGUUGGUGGAGUAAAAUCCAUGAGUAACGCAGCUAACGCGUGAAGUAGACCGCCNGGGGAGUACGGUCGCAAGAUUAAAACUCAAAUGAAUUGACGGGGGCCCGCACAAGCGGUGGAUUAUGUGGAUUAAUUCGAUGCAACGCGAAAAACCUUACCUGGCCUUGACAUGUACCGAANUUUACCAGANAUGGUUUA